UUCAACCAGAGUUGCGCUUUGCUUUAAGGCAUUUUUCUCUUGUCUUCACCGUUGUUGUAUUAGAAUACAUCAGUGCCACACUUUUACUUAUUUAUCUCUACAGUGUGUUUAUUUUUCUCUGUCCUGUACUUCACUGCACAUUCUCGCGCAGCAUUGACUGUCACGUGAGUUGGCUCGUGACAACAGGAAGAAGGAAUGGCAACUGUAAGGAUGCUGCUGCUGCUUUGACACUUUUCGACUCUGGAUUUUAAUAUCUGCAGAAAGCGACAGACAACAAUGGCUUCUUUUAUAAAAGAAACACAAAGCAUAAAAGAAGCGGUGACUUUCAUCAACGCUAUUGAUGAGAACAAGUUCUCCAGGCUGAUCUCCCGCAUCGUACAAAAACUUCAUCUGAAGGGAGAGCGGACAUUCAGUGAAGAGGAGGAAGAAAAACUUCAGACUGCCCUCUUAUUGGAUAAACGGGCUCUCAGUCUAGUCCUGGAAACAGCUGCCUUUAUACUAGAGCAGGCAGUGUAUCAUAAUGUAAAGCCAGCCUCUCUACAGCAACAGCUGGAGGGGGUUCAUCUAAACCCAGACAAGGCUGAGGUGUUCUCUCAAACCUGGGCAAGUUCUGGACCUGAGCUGGUGGAGAAACUAAAGCAUAAUACCUUUGCCCCAAAGAAGCUGGAGUAUGUCGGCUGGCAGUUGAACCUGCAGAUGGCCCAGUCCAGCCAAGCCAGACUGAAGUCUCCCAGUGCUGUCCUCCAACUGGGCCUCCGCAAUGAAGACUCUGAGAUGAACCUUUGAACUCUCCAAUUCCCCAUCUGCGUACCUCCUCCUUCACAAUGAAUCAGAAGGCUUCAAACUAGAGAAGCCUCAACCGUGUUAAUGAGGUUCAGGAAAAUGUCUUUGUUGAUUUUAACCACAAGGAGCUGCUUGACCUCUACAACAAGCUUGAAAUUGUGCAAGGCCAGUUGGACCUGACCUGAUGCCUGGUGCUCUCUCCCACACACACACACACACACACACACACACACACACACACACAGUGUUUUUGCUGACAGCUAUGCCAGCUGUUCUAUUCUGGCUCUGAUUUAUUAGAGAAAGAUAUCAAACUUUGAUGGAAGGAUUUCUUUCCCCUCUAAGCUCCUUUUAUUCCAGGUUUGUGGUCAUAAUUUAGAGGCUGGUGUGAUAAAUUAUGAUAAAUCUGAUGGUAAUUGUACUGAAACACAUUUCUUUGUAACAUUUUCUAUGUGCAGCAGUAAGUUACAACAAUGUUUGAAGGCCUUAGGAAUUAGUUAUUAUAAUAUUUAAAAAUGUGCCAAUAGUCAAUGACCGUGAAUAUUUGUUUGUACCCAUAGAAAACUAAGUUAAGGGAAAUGCUAUUUUGAGUUAUAAACAACUUAAUUUUGUAACAGGGAGAGAAACUAGUGUCCAUGACAUUCUAAUAAAAUCUAAAGUGGAGGUGAAAUCCA
Molecule: RNA transcript, 1454 nt
Organism: Etheostoma spectabile (orangethroat darter)
Lineage: Eukaryota; Metazoa; Chordata; Actinopteri; Perciformes; Percidae
Gene: commd10
Gene name: COMM domain containing 10
Exons: 8
Source: RefSeq, a predicted model, not a curated record